Molecule: long non-coding RNA, 1140 nt
Organism: Rosa chinensis
Lineage: Eukaryota; Viridiplantae; Streptophyta; Magnoliopsida; Rosales; Rosaceae
Exons: 7
Source: RefSeq, a predicted model, not a curated record
UUUGCUAUCGAUCUAUUUUCCUCUUUCUCUCGCCAGUCGCUGUGAACCCUCUCGAAUCAACAAAUUUCUCUCACUCUCCUCACACACAAAUCCAAAACCAAAGAACCCAAUCCAAAUCGCUCUUGCUCAGAAUCGUGAAAAAUUGUUGUUUAGUUUGUUCCCCGUUAAAUCAUGGCAAUAGAAAUAUUGAAUUAUUUUGUGUUCGUGAUUGAUCUGAUUACUAUUGUAUUAAGCUGAUUUUAACUAUAAAGUUUUAUCAGAGUGUUUGUUUAUUGACUUUAUGGUAUCUACAACUUCAACUGUUGUUAUUUUAUGUUUGCAGAUUUUGGAACCAGUUUGCAGUCAGAUUCCUUGAAUCUUUUGGAUCCAGUGAUGGCUUCAAGCAUCGCAAAAACAAAAGGCAAAAGAUAUUUGCAAGUUGAUCAUACGCAUGCAUCCACUUGCCGCUUCAUCUGUUUGACUGUUUCUUCUGCUCCAUGGUAGGGAGGGAGUCUCCAGACUGUUCAAGGGAGAGUGGUAGAACAGGGGACGGAGUUUUUAUCGAAGGAUGAAGAACACGAAUAUGGAUAGUUGUCUAUGAGAACACAAAGGAAUUGCAAUAUGGAGGACUGGGGCAUAGAUGGACAGGGAGAUAUGAAGUUCAUUUAUGGGACAAAGGGUCUUGGCAUCCAACAUAAAGGAAUAAGGGAAAGAAAGUUUAUCUGGGAGCUCAUGGUGAAGAAGAAUUCGUAGCAAGAGCAUAUGAUUUGGCAGCACUCAAGUACUGGGGAACAUCAACUUCUAAAAAAUUUCCAGUGUCUGAAUACUUAACAUUAAAAGAAUGCUUGGCCUCUCUAAGAAGAAGAAGCUGUGACUUCUCAAAUGGUGUAUACAAGGGCAAUGGUGAUUACAACCCCUUCAUCAAAUAUGACUAUUUUGAUAUUGUCACGUGCCACAUUAUCCAGUUGUAAUUCAGUCUCUGUCUUUGUUUUUACUUUGAUGUGACUCUGAAUAACCAUACGUACUUUACCGUCAAAAUCACACCCAUCCAAUGAUCAUGAUUUGUAUUUGCAUGAAAUUAUAUACCUUGGAUGUUGUUGGUGUAAUUCUAUAUGAGAUAUGGACAUCAAGCUACCUAUUCAAUUUGUGUGUUGUGCUAAA